AUUGAACGCUGGCGGCAUGCUUUACACAUGCAAGUCGAACGGCAGCGCGGGCUUCGGCCCGGCGGCGAGUGGCGAACGGGUGAGUAAUACAUCGGAACGUGCCCAGUAGUGGGGGAUAGCUCGGCGAAAGCCGGAUUAAUACCGCAUACGACCUGAGGGUGAAAGCGGGGGAUCCUCGGACCUCGCGCUAUUGGAGCGGCCGAUGGCAGAUUAGCUAGUUGGUGGGGUAAAGGCCUACCAAGGCGACGAUCUGUAGCUGGUCUGAGAGGACGACCAGCCACACUGGGACUGAGACACGGCCCAGACUCCUACGGGAGGCAGCAGUGGGGAAUUUUGGACAAUGGGCGAAAGCCUGAUCCAGCAAUGCCGCGUGUGUGAUGAAGGCCUUCGGGUUGUAAAGCACUUUUGGCGGGAACGAAAAGGACUGUGCCAAUACCACGGUUCGAUGACGGUACCCGCAGAAUAAGCACCGGCUAACUACGUG
RNAcentral lists this ribosomal RNA (484 nucleotides) under uncultured bacterium. RNAcentral describes it as "partial 16S ribosomal RNA". It matches the Rfam family "Bacterial small subunit ribosomal RNA", at positions 29 to 507 of the family's 1533-position model. The record is from RNAcentral.